ACGAUGCAAUGGAGCGCCCCUUCUUUGAUAACGGACAGGUGGUUUUUUCCUUCGUAAAUAGAAAAUUCAUUGUGUUCGAAUCAACGAUUCUCCGCGUGAAAUUGAGUUCAAAUGAGUGCCAUGACUACUACAAAUGAGUGCCAUUACACUAUACACAUUUCCAAUUUUCUUUGCAUUUUCAUUAACAGUGAUAAGAUAAAAGUGUAUGUAUCAAAUGUUAAUCAUUUCGAUCUAGACGAGAAGUCUUUAAUGAGUCUUUAUCUUUUGCUUUCGUAGAUGUAUGUAUCCAACCCCUUCAAGAAAAUGUAUGGCGUACACUCUGGAUUUAAACUUAGACUCUGGUUUGAUUUAAUUUAAUUUGUAACGUGAGUUAGAAGGUGGCGCCUAAUUUGGAAGUUGUAUCGAGACAUUACUAACUCCAGCGCUGACCCUGAAUACGUGCGCACACUUUUGCACACGUUGACGCACUUUCAAUUAUGCACGUUCACAAAUCCGAACUGAAAUAUUAUGCCAAUUCACACGAUCACACACUCAUUACAGAAUAUCGCGUGCGUUACAAUCAGGCUGUUACAAUCACGGUCCAGGAACGUAAACGGAGCAAAGGGCCAGAGGCGUGUAAUACUGAAAACCAGUGUAAAAUGUAAAUCGUGAUAGUCACUGCUGAGUAAUCAGUAAUCGUGAUUAAUAAUGAAUAAUCAAACACGAUCAGGAGAGACGCACGCAGCUAUUCUUCUUGCUUAAUCUAAAUGCAGACAAAACAGAAGAAUUAAAACAUGUAUAUAUAAUUGAUGUAUAGUAGAAAUUUAUUUACCAUAAAUUUACUAAAUAUGUAAACAUAAAAGAACGCUCGCGUUGUGCCCGUUGAAUGGAGUUUGAUUAUAGCUGCAAUAAAAUAACAUCCGUCUCCUAAACUACAUAGGCUGAAUGGAGUUUGAUUAAAUUGGCCAGCGUGUUUAAAUUUAGAUCGUUACAAUCGGCCGACCCUCGUGACUUCAUAAUGUACGGCACCAUCCUAUAGACCAAGCUACUCCAACUGAAAGGCCACCGUGGACCAGCUCAGCCCUGCGAGUGCAAGGACCACGCUGACAUCUUCCGUGAAAUGUGCAAUUGUUUUAUCGCUAACGGUUGACAAAGAAAGAAACCAUCACUGAGCGCGUGAGAACUUGCGAUGGGGAACGGCCCGGGGCUGACACAGGGCCGUUUCGGUGCGCCCUGGUCCCAAGGGCCUGAGUUGGAGUGGCCUGCUACAGACGACUAUAUAUGUUGCACUUCGAAAUGAAACAUUGACCGCAAUGCGACUCGCAUAUUCUAUUAGCAGUGCAGUAUAAAAGCAAUAAACAUUAUGUUCUCGUCACUGUGGUAAAAGAUCAUCGCCGAGUUCUUCAUCGCCAAAAUCGUCGUCCCUUUUUCCAACGGACGUCAUGGGACGGGUAGGUAGAGGACCUAUUGGAUCUAUGUAUGGAGUACCUACAUAACAUAUUUUAGAACAUUUACUUUUACAGUUAACUAUUUGUAACUGAACGUUAUCAUAUUUAGUAUUUUGUUAUGAACAAUUUUGAAGUAUUUGAAAUAAAUUGUAGACCAAUGUA
This is a long non-coding RNA of Hylaeus anthracinus, 1589 nucleotides long. RefSeq lists it as uncharacterized. NCBI's taxonomy places the organism in Eukaryota, Metazoa, Arthropoda, Insecta, Hymenoptera, Colletidae. The transcript is spliced from 2 exons. The record is from RefSeq and is a predicted model, not a curated record.